Molecule: non-coding RNA, 233 nt
Organism: Schizosaccharomyces pombe (fission yeast)
Lineage: Eukaryota; Fungi; Ascomycota; Schizosaccharomycetes; Schizosaccharomycetales; Schizosaccharomycetaceae
Source: the annotation of a GenBank genome assembly
UGUUCGAUCUGAGGAACAUGAAAGAAUGAUGUCCUGAUGUGGAUGAAAGUCAACGUGAUUUACUGAACCCUCAUGUCCGGGUAAUACAUAACGUAAAUCGCCUGUGGCUGACCAAACAUAUACGUUUUUAUCAGAGCUACCAGCACCAACGAAUCGUGAAUUACGACUCCAGGCAACACCUAACAAAUUAUGCUCCUGUCCGUGAAUAGCUCCUUCAAAAAUUUGCAACUGUC